RNAcentral lists this ribosomal RNA (1074 nucleotides) under Salmonella enterica subsp. enterica serovar Newport. RNAcentral describes it as "partial 23S ribosomal RNA". It matches the Rfam family "Bacterial large subunit ribosomal RNA", at positions 161 to 1251 of the family's 2925-position model. Lineage: Bacteria; Pseudomonadati; Pseudomonadota; Gammaproteobacteria; Enterobacterales; Enterobacteriaceae. The record is from RNAcentral.
AAUCCAUAGGUUAAUGAGGCGAACCGGGGGAACUGAAACAUCUAAGUACCCCGAGGAAAAGAAAUCAACCGAGAUUCCCCCAGUAGCGGCGAGCGAACGGGGAGGAGCCCAGAGCCUGAAUCAGCAUGUGUGUUAGUGGAAGCGUCUGGAAAGGCGCGCGAUACAGGGUGACAGCCCCGUACACAAAAGCGCAUGUGCUGUGAGCUCGAUGAGUAGGGCGGGACACGUGGUAUCCUGUCUGAAUAUGGGGGGACCAUCCUCCAAGGCUAAAUACUCCUGACUGACCGAUAGUGAACCAGUACCGUGAGGGAAAGGCGAAAAGAACCCCGGCGAGGGGAGUGAAAAAGAACCUGAAACCGUGUACGUACAAGCAGUGGGAGCACAGGUUUACCUGUGUGACUGCGUACCUUUUGUAUAAUGGGUCAGCGACUUAUAUUCUGUAGCAAGGUUAACCGAAUAGGGGAGCCGGAGGGAAACCGAGUCUUAAUUGGGCGUUAAGUUGCAGGGUAUAGACCCGAAACCCGGUGAUCUAGCCAUGGGCAGGUUGAAGGUUGGGUAACACUAACUGGAGGACCGAACCGACUAAUGUUGAAAAAUUAGCGGAUGACCUGUGGCUGGGGGUGAAAGGCCAAUCAAACCGGGAGAUAGCUGGUUCUCCCCGAAAGCUAUUUAGGUAGCGCCUCGUGAAUUCAUCUCCGGGGGUAGAGCACUGUUUCGGCUAGGGGGCCAUCCCGGCUUACCAACCCGAUGCAAACUGCGAAUACCGGAGAAUGUUAUCACGGGAGACACACGGCGGGUGCUAACGUCCGUCGUGAAGAGGGAAACAACCCAGACCGCCAGCUAAGGUCCCAAAGUCAUGGUUAAGUGGGAAACGAUGUGGGAAGGCCCAGACAGCCAGGAUGUUGGCUUAGAAGCAGCCAUCAUUUAAAGAAAGCGUAAUAGCUCACUGGUCGAGUCGGCCUGCGCGGAAGAUGUAACGGGGCUAAACCAUGCACCGAAGCUGCGGCAGCGAACGUAUCACUUAAAGCGAUUCAGCGGGUUACGAUUGACGGAGCGAAGCGACGUCAAAGCGUA